This 320-nucleotide long non-coding RNA is filed under the name Lathyrus oleraceus (garden pea). RNAcentral describes it as "Pisum sativum (pea) long non-coding RNA (PSAT_LNC040444)". The record is from RNAcentral. Lineage: Eukaryota; Viridiplantae; Streptophyta; Magnoliopsida; Fabales; Fabaceae.
UGAAUUCAUUUAUUAACUAAAACUUAGGAAGUUUAAACGAAACUUUUAAUGGUUUCCAAAAUUUAUUCUGUUUAAGAAAUAGAAAGAAAAUAAAUAAAAAGAAAAUGGUGAGAGGAACUAUUCACCGUCCUCAAUCCUUCUCCAACCCCUCACGAAAUCGCUCUCUCAAAACCCAUUCUCCACGAACCUCUCAUAAAAAGAAAAUGGUGAGAGGAACUAUUCACCGUCCUCAAUCCUUCUCCAACCCCUCACGAAAUCGCUCUCUCAAAACCCAUUCUCCACGAACCUCUCUCUUGCUCUCAACGAACAUCUCAACCUUC